This 727-nucleotide ribosomal RNA is filed under the name uncultured Fusobacterium sp. RNAcentral describes it as "bacterial SSU rRNA". It matches the Rfam family "Bacterial small subunit ribosomal RNA", at positions 28 to 776 of the family's 1533-position model. The record is from RNAcentral. Lineage: Bacteria; Fusobacteriati; Fusobacteriota; Fusobacteriia; Fusobacteriales; Fusobacteriaceae.
GAUGAACGCUGACAGAAUGCUUAACACAUGCAAGUCGACUCGAGUCUUCGGACUUGGGUGGCGCACGGGUGAGUAACGCGUAAAGAACUUGCCUCUUAGACCGGGACAACAUCUGGAAACGGAUGCUAAUACCGGAUAUUAUGGUUUUUUCGCAUGGAGGAAUCAUGAAAGCUGGAUGCGCUAAGAGAGAGCUUUGCGUCCCAUUGGCUAGUUGGUGAGGUAACGGCCCACCAAGGCAAUGAUGGGUAGCCGGCCUGAGAGGGUGAACGGCCACAAGGGGACUGAGACACGGCCCUUACUCCUACGGGAGGCAGCAGUGGGGAAUAUUGGACAAUGGACCGCAAGUCUGAUCCAGCAAUUCUGUGUACACGAUGACGUUUUUCGGAAUGUAAAGUGCUUUCAGUCGGGAAGAAGUCAGUGACGGUACCGACAGAAGAAGCGACGGCUAAAUACGUGCCAGCAGCCGCGGUAAUACGUAUGUCGCAAGCGUUAUCCGGAUUUAUUGGGCGUAAAGCGCGUCUAGGCGGCAAGGAAAGUCUGAUGUGAAAAUGCGGAGCUCAACUCCGUAUGGCGUUGGAAACUGCCUUACUAGAGUACUGGAGAGGUAGGCGGAACUACAAGUGUAGAGGUGAAAUUCGUAGAUAUUUGUAGGAAUGCCGAUGGGGAAGCCAGCCCUACUGGGACAGAUACUGACGCUAAAGCGCGAAAGCGUGGGGUAGCAAACAGG